Molecule: non-coding RNA, 46 nt
Organism: Trichomalopsis sarcophagae
Lineage: Eukaryota; Metazoa; Arthropoda; Insecta; Hymenoptera; Pteromalidae
Source: Rfam
GAAAAGGCCCUUUUCAGGGCCAUGACUAUUAUACAUCAUAUUGCGU